UUCUGCUCUCAUUCAAAUCAAUGAGAGUUCUACCAUUGACUUAACUGGGAGCACAAUU
Molecule: microRNA precursor, 58 nt
Filed under: Chrysemys picta bellii (western painted turtle)
Lineage: Eukaryota; Metazoa; Chordata; Testudines; Emydidae
Description: Cpi-Mir-1677-P4_pre stem-loop
Source: RNAcentral